Molecule: ribosomal RNA, 497 nt
Filed under: uncultured bacterium
Lineage: Bacteria
Description: partial 16S ribosomal RNA
Rfam family: Bacterial small subunit ribosomal RNA
Source: RNAcentral
GAUGAACGCUGGCGGCGUGCCUAAUACAUGCCAGUCGAGCGAACGGACGAGAAGCUUGCUUCUCUGAUGUUAGCGGCGGACGGGUGAGUAACACGUGGAUAACCUACCUAUAAGACUGGGAUAACUUCGGGAAACCGGAGCUAAUACCGGAUAAUAUUUUGAACCGCAUGGUUCAAAAGUGAAAGACGGUUUUGCUGUCACUUAUAGAUGGAUCCGCGCUGCAUUAGCUAGUUGGUAAGGUAACGGCUUACCAAGGCAACGAUGCAUAGCCGACCUGAGAGGGUGAUCGGCCACACUGGAACUGAGACACGGUCCAGACUCCUACGGGAGGCAGCAGUAGGGAAUCUUCCGCAAUGGGCGAAAGCCUGACGGAGCAACGCCGCGUGAGUGAUGAAGGUCUUCGGAUCGUAAAACUCUGUUAUUAGGGAAGAACAUAUGUGUAAGUAACUGUGCACAUCUUGACGGUACCUAAUCAGAAAGCCACGGCUAACUACGUG